RNAcentral lists this ribosomal RNA (484 nucleotides) under uncultured bacterium. Its description in RNAcentral is "partial 16S ribosomal RNA". It matches the Rfam family "Bacterial small subunit ribosomal RNA", at positions 30 to 507 of the family's 1533-position model. The record is from RNAcentral.
AUUGAACGCUGGCGGCAGGCCUAACACAUGCAAGUCGAGCGGAUGAAGGGAGCUUGCUCCUGGAUUCAGCGGCGGACGGGUGAGUAAUGCCUAGGAAUCUGCCUGGUAGUGGGGGAUAACGUCCGGAAACGGGCGCUAAUACCGCAUACGUCCUGAGGGAGAAAGUGGGGGAUCUUCGGACCUCACGCUAUCAGAUGAGCCUAGGUCGGAUUAGCUAGUUGGUGGGGUAACGGCCUACCAAGGCGACGAUCCGUAACUGGUCUGAGAGGAUGAUCAGUCACACUGGAACUGAGACACGGUCCAGACUCCUACGGGAGGCAGCAGUGGGGAAUAUUGGACAAUGGGCGAAAGCCUGAUCCAGCCAUGCCGCGUGUGUGAAGAAGGUCUUCGGAUUGUAAAGCACUUUAAGUUGGGAGGAACGGCAGUAAGUUAAUACCUUGCUGUUUUGACGUUACCAACAGAAUAAGCACCGGCUAACUUCGUG